Molecule: long non-coding RNA, 698 nt
Filed under: Lathyrus oleraceus (garden pea)
Lineage: Eukaryota; Viridiplantae; Streptophyta; Magnoliopsida; Fabales; Fabaceae
Description: Pisum sativum (pea) long non-coding RNA (PSAT_LNC021797)
Source: RNAcentral
UGAGUACUAAGUGUAAUAUUAUUAUACUAUAGUUAUAUUUCCAAGAUCUUAGAGUAUAAAGCUAUAAUUGUAAGGUUGGUGAAAUUGCAAAAAUAUAAUUAAGUAAAAAAUAUAAUUAUUAAAUGCCAUUAUUAUAUAGCUAGGUAACAUAACUGCACAUUAUAAAUUAAAAAAAAGGUAUAUUGAAUACUUUAUUUUUUCUAGUAUAAGAAUUUAUUCUUUCCUGCAUGACAUAAGUGUGCUCUCUUGAACCUUAUUCAUCCGUAGCUCAGUCUAGUAUAUCUACAUUUGUUUUUAGUACACUUGUACCUACGAAUAGAAGUACUUGGUGGACAAUCAACAUCAGUUUUACAUUUAGUUGCUACUGCAAUCAUAAAACAUAAUAAAAUAGUGUUAUUAAAAUGAGAUAAAAUUAUGUAUUAACUAUGAACUAUAGAAGAAAAUAUGAAGAAAUAAAAUAAAAUUACCGGCACCAUCAAUAUUCUUUACAACAAGAAAUAGAAAAAUAAAUAAAAUCAUAACAUACACAGACUUGAGAAUUUUAGCCAUGUUUUUUUUUCUCUCUUUACAUGCAAGAAAUAGAAUAUUAUGUGACACUUUUAUAGUAUAGAAAGCACAUGUUGUGCUGAAAAAUUAAAUAUUUUUAGCGUCUAUGAAGUUGUAAUAAACCCUUCCUAAAAAUUAUAAUUAUUUUGAAG